GAUGAAGAACGCAGCGAAAUGCGAUAAGUAAUGCGAAUUGCAGAAUUCCAGUGAAUCAUCGAAUCUUUGAACGCACCUUGCACCCUUUGGCAUUCCGAAGGGUAUGCUCGUUUGAGUGUCAUUGUACUCUCACACUUCCGAUCUUUGGAUUGGGAGCGGUGGACUUGGGUGUUGCUGCUUACUGUGGCUCACCUCAAAUCGAUUCGUGCACCUCUUGGUUGGACAUAGUACGGCGUGAUAAGUGUCUUCGCCGGCACCUCAGUAGAGGGUGGCUGAUCGGGAGCUCUGCUUCAAACCGUCCUCGGACAACAACUGACAACUUGACCUCAAAUCGAGUAGGACUACCCGCUGAACUUAAGCAUAUCAAUAAGCGGAGGA
RNAcentral lists this unclassified non-coding RNA (378 nucleotides) under soil metagenome. Its description in RNAcentral is "partial contains 5.8S ribosomal RNA, internal transcribed spacer 2, and large subunit ribosomal RNA". The stretch from base 1 to 121 matches the Rfam family "5.8S ribosomal RNA", at positions 35 to 154 of the family's 154-position model. The record is from RNAcentral.